AGGACGAACGCUGGCGGCGUGCUUAACACAUGCAAGUCGAGCGGAAAGGCCCUUCGGGGUACGUCGAGCGGCGAACGGGUGAGUAACACGUGAGCAACCUGCCCUUAGCUCCGGGAUAGGCUCCGGGAAACCGGAAUUAAUACCGGAUACGACCACGGCCGACAUCUGCUGUGGUGGAAAGGAUUCCGGCUAAGGAUGGGCUCGCGGCCUAUCAGCUAGUUGGUGGAGUAACGGCCCACCAAGGCGACGACGGGUA
RNAcentral lists this ribosomal RNA (256 nucleotides) under uncultured bacterium. RNAcentral describes it as "partial small subunit ribosomal RNA". It matches the Rfam family "Bacterial small subunit ribosomal RNA", at positions 26 to 285 of the family's 1533-position model. The record is from RNAcentral.